CAUCACACGCAGUAUUAGGGUUAUGUUUCCCACGCGACAAUGGAGGUCCCUCGGAGUACGAUUAUCACUGGCCAAUCCCUGGUGAAAGCCACCGCCAUUCGCGUCGAUUUGCUUGCAGCUCUUCUCACCUGCCUUCUGAGACCGACACCGUUACGAAACUUUACUGGAUUCAAUUAUUGUCAUUAAAAUUCUAAUUAAUUUUCAUCUCCCAACUCCUUCCACGAUUUGACAUUCAAUACUAAGAAGAGUAGGAGUAAGAAGAAGCGAAAUGGCUAAGUGAAGUAUGAGAGUGGGGAAGAGACUUCUUAUGAGAAGGAGGGUUAGUAGUAAUGAAUAAGUAUUAUUGUAUAAAGCUAUGUCGUUUUACUUAUUGCACUCUAUUAAAAGGGGGAGUGUCCCUUAUGGAAACCUUAUCUAAUGAUCAAAUAACAAACAAUAUUCUCUCUUAUCCCUUUCUCUCUCUAUUCUCUCCCCUUUCUUGUGACAAGAUAAGCGCUUGCUUAUCAAGAGACUUAGACAGCUGGCUAGCGAAGAACAUGUCAGUGUCUUUUGUUUUGUUUCUGUAUCAGGAGGCGCCGUGAUGUGAAGAUGGUAGACUCAUCAAAGACAGAAAGCGACUCUCAUACAUGCCACCGUGAAUGUCCACUGUCUGACCACUUUCAGACAUCACCUCACACGGGUUCCAUGUUCUUCGUCAGCGGAUUUGAUGUGACUGGGUGCAACCAUAACUUCAGGCUCUCAGGCUCUCAGACUCUCCUCUGGCAAUCUGAUUCAGUGAUUCCACCACUCUGGAUGAGAUGACCGAACCGGUGAACCCCAUUCCUGAAGAACGGUUCAGAUCGGCAAUCACAGUGAGUUGCUUGGUCUAGCCAACACAAAACCCACCUUCCAGACAUAAUUGGUGAGCUCACUGCUGUGAAGAGCAAUGUAUGUGGCCCUCCACAGGGAAAAGAACGUGUGAUGGCAGCCAUCAAAAUCGAUAAGUAACUUAGGCCUUUAGAACUUUCAUAAAUGAUGGAAUUUAGUUUUCAUAAUAGAGCAUGUGCAAUUCAUAUUCUGUUUUCUCCUUGGCAGUACGUCACUGUGAAACUUAGUUUGUUUGACUCGCAAUCUGUUGCGUUUCACAACAAACUAAAAACCUUACGAGGUGAGGUUGUAGUUUGCUCCUCUGUUCUACUUGCUGAUUUGAACAUAUAUAGAUGUAUCACUUGGAAAGGUAGUUUCUUCCCUUAAACCAAAGACUAUCAUCAUUAUUUGUUUACAGGAGUGAUUUUCAGAGGCUGAUGAGAUCAAACAGCUUGAGGAACUAAAGUAUGGACUGGCGUUGUUUUCUCGGCUUUUAGUUUAAGUUUAUUUUGUGCAGAAUAGUAUUUGUUGCUUUGAUCAUCUCCUUGCAUUUUGAUGUGACUAAGUGUGUAACUCUCAGGAGUAUCUUUGUGAUUUGUUUUUUUUAAUGGAAUGUACCAUUUCAUAAUUGUAAUGCUUACUUCUUUCUUUAAUAUAUGGAUGAGAUGUGACCAAA
Molecule: long non-coding RNA, 1522 nt
Organism: Brassica napus (rape)
Lineage: Eukaryota; Viridiplantae; Streptophyta; Magnoliopsida; Brassicales; Brassicaceae
Exons: 5
Source: RefSeq, a predicted model, not a curated record